This 75-nucleotide transfer RNA is filed under the name Verrucomicrobiaceae bacterium. RNAcentral describes it as "tRNA-Leu". It matches the Rfam family "tRNA". From Rfam's summary of the family: Transfer RNA (tRNA) molecules are approximately 80 nucleotides in length. Their secondary structure includes four short double-helical elements and three loops (D, anti-codon, and T loops). Lineage: Bacteria; Pseudomonadati; Verrucomicrobiota; Verrucomicrobiia; Verrucomicrobiales; Verrucomicrobiaceae. The record is from RNAcentral.
CCCCUUGUAGCCCAAUGCAGAGGCACUUGCCUCAGAAGCAAGUCAGUGCGGGUGCGACUCCUGCCAAGGGGACCA